RNAcentral lists this ribosomal RNA (404 nucleotides) under uncultured Actinomycetes bacterium. Its description in RNAcentral is "bacterial SSU rRNA". It matches the Rfam family "Bacterial small subunit ribosomal RNA", at positions 9 to 416 of the family's 1533-position model. Lineage: Bacteria; Bacillati; Actinomycetota; Actinomycetes. The record is from RNAcentral.
GAGUUUGAUCAUGGCUCAGGACGAACGCUGGCGGCGUGCUUAACACAUGCAAGUCGAACGGAAAGGCCCUUCGGGGUGCUCGAGUGGCGAACGGGUGAGUAACACGUGGGUGAUCUGCCCUGCACUUUGGGAUAAGCCUGGGAAACUGGGUCUAAUACCGAAUACACCUCAUGGGCUGCAUGGUUUGUGGGGGAAAGCUUUUGCGGUGUGGGAUGGGCCCGCGGCCUAUCAGCUUGUUGGUGGGGUGAUGGCCUACCAAGGCGACGACGGGUAGCCGGCCUGAGAGGGUGACCGGCCACACUGGGACUGAGAUACGGCCCAGACUCCUACGGGAGGCAGCAGUGGGGAAUAUUGCACAAUGGGCGCAAGCCUGAUGCAGCGACGCCGCGUGAGGGAUGACGGCC